Molecule: ribosomal RNA, 465 nt
Filed under: uncultured soil bacterium
Lineage: Bacteria
Description: bacterial SSU rRNA
Rfam family: Bacterial small subunit ribosomal RNA
Source: RNAcentral
AGGACGAACGCUGGCGGCGUGCUUAACACAUGCAAGUGGAGCGACGAACCAGGGCUUGCCCUGGGGCAAAGCCGCGAACGGGUGAGUAACACGUGGGUAACCUGCCCCGAUGACUGGGACAACCCGAGGAAACUCGAGCUAAUACCAGAUGAUUUCACGGCUCAUGAGAGCCAUGAGGAAAGGAAGCUUCGGCCUCCGCAUUGGGAUGGGCCCGCGGCGCAUUAGCUUGUUGGUGAGGUAACGGCUCACCAAGGCGACGAUGCGUAGCUGGUCUGAGAGGACGAUCAGCCACACUGGGACUGAGACACGGCCCAGACUCCUACGGGAGGCAGCAGUGGGGAAUCUUGCGCAAUGCGACGAAAGCGUGACGCAGCAACGCCGCGUGCGGAGACGCGUUCGGUGUAACGCUUCAGUGGACGAGGUUCGCGGUGAGUAGCGGCGUGGACGUGUACGUACCGUUACGAG